GACGAACGCUGGCGGCGUGCUUAACACAUGCAAGUCGAACGAAGAGCGAUGGAAGCUUGCUUCUAUCAAUCUUAGUGGCGCACGGGUGAGUAACGCGUAAUCAACCUGCCCUUCAGAGGGGGACAACAGUUGGAAACGACUGCUAAUACCGCAUACGAUCCAAUCUCGGCAUCGGGACUGGAUGAAAGGUGGCCUCUAUUUAUAAGCUAUCACUGAAGGAGGGGAUUGCGUCUGAUUAGCUAGUUGGAGGGGUAACGGCCCACCAAGGCGAUGAUCAGUAGCCGGUCUGAGAGGAUGAACGGCCACAUUGGGACUGGGACACGGCCCAGACUCCUACGGGAGGCAGCAGUGGGGAAUCUUCCGCAAUGGACGAAAGUCUGACGGAGCAACGCCGCGUGAGGGAUGACGGCCUUCGGGUUGUAAAGCUCUGUUAAUCGGGACGAAUGGUUCUUGUGCGAAUAGUGCGAGGAUUUGACGGUACCGGAAGAGAAAGCCACGGCUAACUACGUG
RNAcentral lists this ribosomal RNA (510 nucleotides) under uncultured bacterium. RNAcentral describes it as "partial 16S ribosomal RNA". It matches the Rfam family "Bacterial small subunit ribosomal RNA", at positions 28 to 507 of the family's 1533-position model. The record is from RNAcentral.